RNAcentral lists this ribosomal RNA (281 nucleotides) under uncultured Dialister sp. Its description in RNAcentral is "partial 16S ribosomal RNA". It matches the Rfam family "Bacterial small subunit ribosomal RNA", at positions 74 to 339 of the family's 1533-position model. The record is from RNAcentral. Lineage: Bacteria; Bacillati; Bacillota; Negativicutes; Veillonellales; Veillonellaceae.
CUUGCUCUUUCCGGAAUUGAGUGGCAAACGGGUGAGUAACACGUAAACAACCUGCCUUCAGGAUGGGGACAACAGACGGAAACGACUGCUAAUACCGAAUAAGUUCCAAGAGCCGCAUGGCCCAUGGAAGAAAAGGUGGCCUCUACCUGUAAGCUAUCGCCUGAAGAGGGGUUUGCGUCUGAUUAGCUGGUUGGAGGGGUAAAGGCUCACCAAGGCGACGAUCGGUAGCUGGUCUGAGAGGGUGAACGGCCACAUUGGGACUGAGACACGGCCCAAACUCC